AAUUAAUGCUCGCUCCAGGCAUAACACAUGCAAGUCCAAUGUUAUUUAAACAUGGCGUACGGGUGCAGAGGAACUAAGAAUCUACCCCACUGUCUUGAAUAACAUCCAGAAAUACAAGAUAAGAUUUAAAAUACCUAAAGAUUUUAUCGCAGUGGGUCGAGCUUGGUGAGUAUUAGGUUGUUGGUUGUAUAAGAGACUUCCAAGCCGAUGAUGCUUUGCGGGUCUGGGAGGACGUUCCGCCACAUGGAGAUUGAAACAAGGCUCUGACAUUUAGGUGGCAGCAGUGAGGAAUAUUGGACAAUGGGCGAAAGCUUGAUCCAGCCAUGGCGCAUUGGGUGAAAUGGAAGGCUCCACGAGGCCGUAAAACCCUUUGUUAGUAGAAACAUUGAUUUUACUAAAGAAAGUAGUCCCGGCUAAUUUCGUGCCAGCAGCCGCGGUAAAAC
RNAcentral lists this ribosomal RNA (443 nucleotides) under uncultured bacterium. RNAcentral's name for it is "bacterial SSU rRNA". It matches the Rfam family "Bacterial small subunit ribosomal RNA", at positions 29 to 526 of the family's 1533-position model. The record is from RNAcentral.